This is a long non-coding RNA of Mangifera indica (mango), 952 nucleotides long. RefSeq lists it as uncharacterized. The record is from RefSeq and is a predicted model, not a curated record. The transcript has 4 exons. NCBI's taxonomy places the organism in Eukaryota, Viridiplantae, Streptophyta, Magnoliopsida, Sapindales, Anacardiaceae.
CUUAGGCCAAAAGAGGCAUUAAAACUGCACAACUAAAUGCUGAGGACUAGCUCUCCAUGUAAAGUGCAGACGGUGGUGUGUGAGGUUUUCGUUGAUGGGUUGUGUAGAAGUCGUGGGUUGUGGAGGCUUUGAGGGUUUUAAGAGAAGUCUUGUGGAUGAAUUUGGCGGUGAAAUGUGGUUCGAGGAGAAGGGUUUUUAGGAGUUAGUUGAGAGAAGCUAGAAUUAAGGAGGCUAAGGAAUUGAAUAAAGCUUUGAGGAGAGUUCACAGUGGUGAAAGGGAGGGCUUGAAUGAAUUCUUGGCCUUGUUGGAUCAGAUUCUUGCUGAUUGGACGGACUACUGCAGUGCAGAUGGUGGAGACUGGAGAAGAUAUGUAACAAUUGAAUUGGGUACAACAACUCCUUUUAGUUUCCAAUAUCUGCAAAACAACAAAAGCUGAUCAAGAAUUUUGGUGGAUAUGGUGCAGCUUGUGAAGGACUACUAGGAUCCAAAGCAUCAACUUUUCACAGCCUCCAUUUCUGAUAGGAGCAAGCAAGUAUCGAAUCAGCAAAACCAUAGUAACCCAUGUAAAUUUUAGGUACGUCUGGACUAUCGGAACUCAAGCGAGUGACACUAUUCAAUCACCGUCUGCUCCACACACAUACACAAAGAAAGAGUUUACCAAGCGGCUUCUGAUGCUGUUAUUGCAUGUUUAAAGAUUGUUGAAGAAAUCUGCUGGAAAAGUUUCUAAGAGCUGCAGAGUAUUGUCACUCUAAAUUCUAUAUGGGAUGCUUAAAGACUGGAGAAGGCAUCAAAGGAACAAGUUUUGACUUGGAGAAAGUAUGAAUCGAAUUCAUAAUGAGGGUCAUUACAAAAAGCAUCUCGGUUAACUUCACAAUGUUGAGAAUAUUGAUAUCGACCUUGUGUUACUGAAAUCAUGUUGAUUAUAAUUUUUAUUUUUUGUUGUUUUGAUAC